GGCUCUCUGUCAGUCAAACAUAGAGAGUCGGACCUGCCCAGUGAAACUUUUUAACGGCCGCGGUACUCUGACCGUGCAAAGGUAGCAUAAUCACUUGCCUUAUAAUUGAAGGCUGGUAUGAACGGUUUGACGAGGGCAUAGCUGUCUCCCCCCUAAUAAUUAGAACUUGACUUGGAGGUGAAGAGGCCUGCAACAGACUGAAGGACGAGAAGACCCUAUCGAUCUUUAAAAGAGAAACAGGCGGUGAUAUAUUUAUAAAUGUAAAACUGUUUUCAUUUUUUGGUUGGGGCGACUAGGGAACACAAAAAGCUUCCUUUCAUUUGAAAAAUAGUAUAUAUUAUGAUCCAGCAAGAAGCUGAUUAAAAGAAUUAGUUACCGUAGGGAUAACAGCAUAAUCCUUUUUGAGAGCCCUUAUCGAAAAAAGGGGUUAUGACCUCGAUGUUGGACUAGGAUAUCCCGAGGGUGCAGAAGCCUUCGAUGGUUGGUCUGUUCGACCAUUAAAAUCCU
Molecule: ribosomal RNA, 507 nt
Filed under: Bittium reticulatum
Lineage: Eukaryota; Metazoa; Mollusca; Gastropoda; Cerithiidae
Description: partial 16S ribosomal RNA
Rfam family: Bacterial large subunit ribosomal RNA
Source: RNAcentral